GAAUAUCGCGCGGGGAGCUGAAAAUUCGGCUGAGAAAGAACCAUGUUCUGACCCACAACCUGAUCUGGGUAAUGCCAGCGUAGGGAUUGCGAUUAACUUCGUGU
This 104-nucleotide non-coding RNA is filed under the name anaerobic digester metagenome. RNAcentral's name for it is "TPP". It matches the Rfam family "TPP riboswitch aptamer (THI element)". From Rfam's summary of the family: Vitamin B(1) in its active form thiamin pyrophosphate (TPP) is an essential coenzyme that is synthesised by coupling of pyrimidine and thiazole moieties in bacteria. The previously detected thiamin-regulatory element, thi box was extended, resulting in a new, highly conserved RNA secondary structure, the THI element, which is widely distributed in eubacteria and also occurs in some archaea. The record is from RNAcentral.